RNAcentral lists this transfer RNA (72 nucleotides) under Camelus ferus (Wild Bactrian camel). It matches the Rfam family "tRNA". From Rfam's summary of the family: Transfer RNA (tRNA) molecules are approximately 80 nucleotides in length. Their secondary structure includes four short double-helical elements and three loops (D, anti-codon, and T loops). The record is from Rfam by way of RNAcentral. Lineage: Eukaryota; Metazoa; Chordata; Mammalia; Artiodactyla; Camelidae.
GGGGGUAUAGCUCAGUUGUAGAGCGCAUGCUGAGCAUGCAUGAGGUACUGGGUUCAAUUCCCAGUACCACCA